UCGAUCAUAUGACUGUAAGAGCUUCUUCUUGUUGUUGUCGGAAUCGUAGUGGCGCUGUCUUACAAUCAGAUGAUUACAAAGUGGUGGAGGGUUUUUUAAUUAUGCAAUGCAUCAUGGACACGAUGUGUCAAAGGGCUAGCACCGUCUGUCGGAUGUUUUCAGUACUAUUGAGUAUACUCCAUUUUUGCUAACUUUGAGUAUUACUGUUGAUAGAUGCAAUUAACUUCAAUUUUUACUAAUAAUUUCGAUAAUGAUAUCAUCAUACUUUACACCAUUAAUGAACAAAAAUCUUAAUAUUUAUAAAAAUCAAGAAUUAAUGGACUUUUUCAUGAAUUCGUUUCAUUUGAAGCUUGUCAACACUUGACAUUUUAAUGCAUCACUGGAUUAAAAAAGGUCUGUACUUUAGGUAGAUUGUUUCAUUACUAUGAGGACGAAGCUUAACACGUACUCGUUGAGGCUUUAAUUGAAUUGGAACUUGGUCAGAAAUUACUACAUCUUGGAAUUCGUCAUCUUGGAGAAGUUUUAUCGAUCCCAUUGAUGCUCGAUGAAUUGAGUGCUUGGGGCAACCAAACUUUUCUAAUCGAUCUGCACUGCUGCAUCGUAAUUUACCCACUGUUGAAUUCGCGUACGACUAUCAAGCACAAACAGAACUUUUUUCAAGACAACUCUUGCAGGAAGUUUGGAUUGCACACAGAUACAAAGAAUCAUCAGAGAAAACCACAGGAGAAAUAAUGUGAACAGAGUUCAAGAGUAUAAGCAUGAAAACUGUGGUAAUAAUCU
Long non-coding RNA from Chelonus insularis, 780 nucleotides. RefSeq lists it as uncharacterized. The transcript has 3 exons. The record is from RefSeq and is a predicted model, not a curated record. Lineage: Eukaryota; Metazoa; Arthropoda; Insecta; Hymenoptera; Braconidae.